This 245-nucleotide ribosomal RNA is filed under the name uncultured bacterium. RNAcentral's name for it is "partial 16S ribosomal RNA". It matches the Rfam family "Bacterial small subunit ribosomal RNA", at positions 524 to 768 of the family's 1533-position model. The record is from RNAcentral.
CACGGAGGGUGCAAGCGUUAAUCGGAAUCACUGGGCGUAAAGCGCACGUAGGCGGCCUUGUAAGUCAGGCGUGAAAGCCCUCGGCUCAACCGGGGAACUGCGCUUGAUACUGCUUGGCUUGAGUAUCGGAGAGGGUGGCGGAAUUCCAGGUGUAGGAGUGAAAUCCGUAGAUAUCUGGAGGAACACCGGCGGCGAAGGCGGCCACCUGGACGAAUACUGACGCUGAGGUGCGAAAGCGUGGGGAG